UGGAUACAAAAGGUUCCUUCAACUUUGUAGGC
RNAcentral lists this non-coding RNA (32 nucleotides) under Mus musculus (house mouse). The record is from RNAcentral. Lineage: Eukaryota; Metazoa; Chordata; Mammalia; Rodentia; Muridae.